AGCAGCCGCGGUAAUUCCAGCUCCAAUAGCGUAUAUUAAAGUUGUUGCAGUUAAAAAGCUCGUAGUUGAAUUUCGGGAUCAAUAUGUUGGUCGUGCCUUGGUACGUACUGGCAUUAUCGAUUCCUACCUUCUGAAGAACCUCGAUGUCAUUAAUUUGGUGUCUUGGGGAAUCAGGACUGUUACUUUGAAAAAUUAGAGUGUUUAAAGCAGGCUCGCGCUUGAAUACAUUAGCAUGGAAUAAUGAAAUAGGACGUUUGAUUCUAUUUUGUUGGUUUCUAGGAUCGACGUAAUGAUUAAUAGGGAUAGUUGGGGGCAUUAGUAUUCAAUUGUCAGAGGUGAAAUUCUUGGAUUUUAUUGAAGACUAACUACUGCGAAAGCAUUUGCCAAGGAUGUUUUCAUUAAUCAAGAACGAAAGUUAGGGGAUCGAAGACGAUCAGAUACCGUCGUAGUCUUAACCAUAAACUAUGCCGACUAGGGAUCGGAUGAUGUUAAUUUUUAAUGUACUCAUUCGGCGUCCG
Molecule: ribosomal RNA, 518 nt
Filed under: uncultured Glomus
Lineage: Eukaryota; Fungi; Glomeromycota; Glomeromycetes; Glomerales; Glomeraceae
Description: SSU rRNA
Rfam family: Eukaryotic small subunit ribosomal RNA
Source: RNAcentral